RNAcentral lists this ribosomal RNA (496 nucleotides) under uncultured bacterium. Its description in RNAcentral is "partial 16S ribosomal RNA". It matches the Rfam family "Bacterial small subunit ribosomal RNA", at positions 28 to 507 of the family's 1533-position model. The record is from RNAcentral.
GAUGAACGCUGGCGGCGUGCCUAAUACAUGCAAGUCGAGCGAACAGACGAGGAGCUUGCUCCUCUGACGUUAGCGGCGGACGGGUGAGUAACACGUGGAUAACCUACCUAUAAGACUGGGAUAACUUCGGGAAACCGGAGCUAAUACCGGAUAAUAUAUUGAACCGCAUGGUUCAAUAGUGAAAGACGGUUUUGCUGUCACUUAUAGAUGGAUCCGCGCCGCAUUAGCUAGUUGGUAAGGUAACGGCUUACCAAGGCAACGAUGCGUAGCCGACCUGAGAGGGUGUUCGGCCACACUGAACCUGAGACACGGUCAAACCUCCUACGGGAGCCAGCAGUGGGAAAUCUUCCGCAAUGGGCGAAAGCCUGACGGAGCAACGCCGCGUGGGUAAUGAAGGUCUUCGGUUCGUAAAACUCUGUUAUAGGGAAGAACAAAUGUGUAAGUAACUAUGCACGUCUUGACGGUACCUAAUCAGAAAGCCACGGCUAACUACGUG